GACGAACGCUGGCGGCGUGCCUAAUACAUGCAAGUAGAACGCUGAAGGAGGAGCUUGCUUCUCUGGAUGAGUUGCGAACGGGUGAGUAACGCGUAGGUAACCUGCCUGGUAGCGGGGGAUAACUAUUGGAAACGAUAGCUAAUACCGCAUAAGAGUAGAUGUUGCAUGACAUUUGCUUAAAAGGUGCAAUUGCAUCACUACCAGAUGGACCUGCGUUGUAUUAGCUAGUUGGUGGGGUAACGGCUCACCAAGGCGACGAUACAUAGCCGACCUGAGAGGGUGAUCGGCCACACUGGGACUGAGACACGGCCCAGACUCCUACGGGAGGCAGCAGUAGGGAAUCUUCGGCAAUGGACGGAAGUCUGACCGAGCAACGCCGCGGGAGUGAAGAAGGUUUUCGGAUCGUAAAGCUCUGUUGUAAGAGAAGAACGAGUGUGAGAGUGGAAAGUUCACACUGUGACGGUAGCUGACCAGAAAGGGACGGCUAACUACGUG
RNAcentral lists this ribosomal RNA (495 nucleotides) under uncultured bacterium. Its description in RNAcentral is "partial 16S ribosomal RNA". It matches the Rfam family "Bacterial small subunit ribosomal RNA", at positions 28 to 507 of the family's 1533-position model. The record is from RNAcentral.